RNAcentral lists this unclassified non-coding RNA (2244 nucleotides) under Actinia tenebrosa (Australian red waratah sea anemone). RNAcentral describes it as "uncharacterized LOC116301662, transcript variant X1". The record is from RNAcentral. Lineage: Eukaryota; Metazoa; Cnidaria; Anthozoa; Actiniaria; Actiniidae.
GGAAGACUGACAUAUAUAACUCGGCUUCUCACAGCUCGGGGACAUUUUUCCUUCCCUGACAACAUCCCUAAUCUACUACUACUCUUCAUCAUCUUCCUCUAUCAUCUCAUAAUCAAGCUUAGUGUCUUAUAGACAGAAUGNAUAGGAACUGUUGCUCCUGACAUCUCCCAGAAUCUAAGGCUUCCUUACCAUGCAUGACACUGCUUCGUCUACUCGUGUAGUACGUGCUUGACGAUAUAGCGACUGUGAAGUCUUUUGAACCGGUCUUUUGAUCAUCCGAAAUCUGCUGUUUUCUCGGCUGACGUUCCUGUCAUUUUUGCUGCCGGCGAUAAAGAUUCGUUUUUGAGUCAAACUGUUCGCCAUCUGAUAAUAUUGUACACAAGUUAUUUGCCAGGCGAUAAUUCAGUCCAAUGAGCCGUCCUUAUUAUUUUUUCAUUGGUUGACGUAAUAUGCGCUGUUUAAAGGGCAGUGAAAAUUCUUUAUAGAUAAAAGAAUCAUUAAUUUAGCACGUCUCAGUUGGGCUGACAAGAAGUCUCGUUCUUUUAGGCAGCGAAGGUUUACGAUCUGACACGUUCAAAACCGACGUCGCUCGACAGCUUAUAAACUAAAUCUCGAGCCGCUAGUCUUUCUCAUUUUACAUUCAUUGCAGCACGUCUCUCUUUGCAAAUGUACUCAAGGCCAAGUCUCUUCUGCUAAUCUUUGAAAGAUUCUCACAGACAAAAAUACUUUAAACUCAAGAAAGAACUAACGAAAAAGUUGCUGCUUGGUUGUUACUACGAAGCAAAAACUAUCAAAAAAAAAAAAAAAAAAAACAACCCGUUCUCUUCUUGGAAGAAUUCAAAAUGAAGGUGCAAGGCGUUUUCGAAACAAAAUGUGUCUUGCUGUGCACAUUGUCUUUACUCGGCAGUACGAACUUUGCUGACUCCAAAGGUCUUAAAACGCGACCCAAAAAUAUAAAGCCACACAAUAUGCAUGGUUACAACGUGGGAGAAGUGUUGUCCUACCAUUCAGUCGUCAGCCUUCUACAGUGUGAGGAUUUGUGUCUCCGACGACAACCACAGUGUCUUGGUUUUAACUAUCACUUCUGUGAAGAGGAACGACUUUGCCAACUGCUUGGAAGUAUUGGCGAAACACAAAAGAAUGAUUGUGUGACGUAUGUAAAGUUUCAUUAUGGAAAAGUACAGAAAAGAUUACUUCAAGGAUGUNCUUGUUCAGAACGAACCAGACGUAUUAUCCCGCCAAACCAUGAAAAAUGACAUUUGAGCCUGUGAUAUUCGUGUCUGAAAAGAGCAAACCAGAGGAAACAAGAAUUAAUGGUUUUUAUCUAUUCAACCGAUGACAGCAAUAUUUAUCUAGUUGAUAUACGUUAGCUAGUGCGAAUUCGACCAAGACAAAAGAUUGAAUAUUGAACGAGUGCAAGACUGUAGGAGAUGGAAUAUACCUCAUCGGAGCGAGGAGUCGCUUAUGAUCAAACAAAAAUUGUCUGAAUGUAUUUAUCAAUAUUCCCAAUAUCCAUUAAUAGGUUAUAAGAAUGUUGCUUUAGAAAACGUUUUUUCAUAGUUGCGCCGGCUCAAGUAAUUUUCGGCAAGGAAAAGGCUGCACUUUGAUAUCAUCUCACUCCUCAGUGAGUCCGGUGACCACAGAGAAGUAAGUUAUUUGUCAAACUUCGAUUCCAUUCUAUGAUAGUCUUUUUUCGCUAUGCAAAGUUUGAGCAGGAAGGAAAAACUUGGGAAACUCAUUUGCCCGCGGACGAUCCCGUCCUCGAUCCCCGCCAAAGUCUGUUUCUAGAAUGGCCAGAUUAAUAACUUUACCCGCGCGAUUUGGGGUGACGCACAAAGGGUAAAUGAUUAUUACUUUAGAUUAGAAAUAUUAAUAGUGAAGAGGUUCUGGAGCGCAUGCAGGAGUAUAAAAUAGCGGACGCAACUUUGCGCAUUUGUUUAGUAAGAUGUCAGAAGAAUAAGUGAAUUCUUGUAAAGGUUUUGAAUUUGUAAAAUAAACCAAUUGAUAUUUGUGAAAUAAUAAUUUUUUGGGUUUCUCGAAAGAAUGCAAAAUUUUUAUUGUGCUCUCGAGCGUACUCUCAAGCAGUGUUCGCACGCGCCGGGAUGAUGCUUGCAGAACAGCAAAAUCAAUUUGCAACGGAGAUUGGAGACGUACGAUAAGUGACGAUAAAGGAAGGAAUAGACGGAUAGAAAUGCUUUAUCAAAUAAGAGAAAAAGUUGAAAAUAAAUAGAUUUUAAUAUUUGA